Molecule: ribosomal RNA, 253 nt
Filed under: uncultured bacterium
Lineage: Bacteria
Description: partial 16S ribosomal RNA
Rfam family: Bacterial small subunit ribosomal RNA
Source: RNAcentral
UACGGAGGGUGCUAGCGUUGUUCGGAAUCACUGGGCGUAAAGGGCGUGUAGGCGGUCUGUUAAGUCUGAUGUGAAAUCCCCUCGCUCAACGAGGGAACUGCGUCGGAUACUGGCAGACUCGAGUACCGGAGAGGAAGGUGGAAUUCCCGGUGUAGCGGUGAAAUGCGUAGAGAUCCGGAGGAACACCAGUGGCGAAGGCGACACGCUGGGCCGUACCUGACACUGAACCGCGACAGCAUGGGGAGCAAACAGG